UUUAUCCUAUAGAUUUUGAGGAUCAAUCAUAAAUCCGACUAAGUCGAUAAUUAGGGAACCGAAAGAUAUAGCUGGUGUUUGUGAAUGCCUAUCCAUUAAGUGUUGUAGGAAUCCUAAAAGUUACAUCGUGGUGCCCACCUGUAAUAUGCAGGGGUUUAUCGCAAUUGAUUCUCGUAUCUAUGGGAUUUUU
This 190-nucleotide non-coding RNA is filed under the name Bacilli bacterium. RNAcentral describes it as "6S RNA". It matches the Rfam family "6S / SsrS RNA". Rfam says of the family: E. coli 6S RNA was the first non coding RNA to be sequenced, but its function was unknown until recently. Lineage: Bacteria; Bacillati; Bacillota; Bacilli. The record is from RNAcentral. RNAcentral also lists the same sequence under 1 other name.